This is a small nuclear RNA of Macaca fascicularis (crab-eating macaque), 90 nucleotides long. Lineage: Eukaryota; Metazoa; Chordata; Mammalia; Primates; Cercopithecidae. The record is from Ensembl.
GUGUUUCAGCAGUGCAUAUACUAAAAUUGGAACGAUGCAGAGAAGACUAGCAUGGCCCCUGCACAGUGCCUUUUUUUAUGAUACUGUUUU